AAGUCGUAACAAGGUUUCCGUAGGUGAACCUGCGGAAGGAUCAUUAAAGAGAAUAAAAUACAACACCGUGCACAAACACAACACCAACAUUAAUCAGUGUCAAACUAAUACGACAACUUUUAGCAACGGAUCUCUAGGUUCUC
Molecule: unclassified non-coding RNA, 143 nt
Filed under: fungal sp.
Lineage: Eukaryota; Fungi
Description: partial internal transcribed spacer region
Rfam family: Eukaryotic small subunit ribosomal RNA (bases 1-46)
Source: RNAcentral